CGGCCUUCAAGUCUGCUGUUAAAACGUGGAGCUUAACUCCAUCAUGGCAGUGGAAACUGUUGGGCUUGAGUGUGGUAGGGGCAGAGGGAAUUCCCGGUGUAGCGGUGAAAUGCGUAGAUAUCGGGAAGAACACCAGUGGCGAAGGCGCUCUGCUGGGCCAUCACUGACGCUCAUGGACGAAAGCCAGGGGAGCGAAAGGGAUUAGAUACCCCUGUAGUCCUGGCCGUAAACGAUGAACACUAGGUGUCGGGGGAAUCGACCCCCUCGGUGUCGUAGCCAACGCGUUAAGUGUUCCGCCUGGGGAGUACGCACGCAAGUGUGAAACUCAAAGGAAUUGACGGGGGCCCGCACAAGCGGUGGAGUAUGUGGUUUAAUUCGAUGCAACGCGAAGAACCUUACCAGGGUUUGACAUCCUGCGAACCUCUUGGAAACGAGAGGGUGCCUUCGGGAACGCAGUGACAGGUGGUGCAUGGCUGUCGUCAGCUCGUGUCGUGAGAUGUUGGGUUAAGUCCCGCAACGAGCGCAACCCACGUCUUUAGUUGCCAGCAUUUAGUUGGGCACUCUAGAGAGACCGCCGGUGAUAAACCGGAGGAAGGUGUGGAUGACGUCAAGUCAUCAUGCCCCUUACAUCCUGGGCUACACACGUACUACAAUGCUACGGACAGAGGGCAGCAAGUUCGCGAGGACAAGCAAAUCCCAUAAACCGUGGCUCAGUUCAGAUCGUAGGCUGCAACUCGCCUACGUGAAGGAGGAAUCGCUAGUAAUCGCAGGUCAGCAUACUGCGGUGAAUACGUUCCCGGGCCUUGUACACACCGCCCGUCACACCAUGGAAGUUGGCCACGCCCGAAGCCGUUACUCCAACCCUCGGGAGGAGGACGUCGAAGGUGGGGCUGAUGACUGGGGUGAAGUCGUAACAAGGUAGCCGUA
RNAcentral lists this ribosomal RNA (927 nucleotides) under uncultured bacterium. RNAcentral's name for it is "bacterial SSU rRNA". It matches the Rfam family "Bacterial small subunit ribosomal RNA", at positions 576 to 1504 of the family's 1533-position model. The record is from RNAcentral.